This 4418-nucleotide long non-coding RNA is filed under the name Homo sapiens (human). Its description in RNAcentral is "HSALNT0293217". Lineage: Eukaryota; Metazoa; Chordata; Mammalia; Primates; Hominidae. The record is from RNAcentral.
GGUUCUUUAUUUCUACUCUCACUCCUCUCUCAAAUUGUGAUUCUUAGGUCUUCCAGGAAUAAAAAAUAAAACCAGCCCUUUAAUAAAACAUAGAAUUUCUGUGGCUGUGCUUGCUUAGCUACAUGAGACCUGACAGAAACUUUGAAAUGCAUACACAUAAGGGCUGGAUCAAGCACCUUCUAUAAAGCCUCAACCUCCUUCCAGGAGGAAGGUAAUGGGAGUUCCUUCUUCCAGGACUGGUCAAGGAGAGCUUGCACAGACAGAGAAAGUAAUAUGUGCCAGUAGGUCUGCUGAAUUGCACAAUCAACCAUGGGGGGCAUCAUUCCCAUCAUGGUCCAUGUAAACAGUAUACUCUGUAGUUGUGCAUGCGGUGUGCAGCCUGAGUGACCCUACAUAGAAGUCCCUGACACAUCCCAGAGAGAAGUACCAGACACAUAUGCAGAAUAAGCAUUAGCAUAUUACCAAUUUCCAGGGUGUAAGAAAGAAGGCAAGCAGUUCAUUGCAAGAAGGAAGAAGUUGGUGGUAUGGAUUUCAUUGGGGUGAGCUAUAAAUGUUUUGAGUUCUCCCUGUUCCUACACCUACCUGCCAUGCAUGGGAGGGAAUGCUUCCCUGCUUCCCCCUCGCAUUAAACCAAAUGAAGAGGGUUUUCAGAGCAUAACUCAGAGAAAAUGGUCCUUGCCUCUGAAUUUGGAGAAUGCAGUGAAAAAUAUGUACUUUGAGAUAUAAGUCUGUCAUAUAAGCACAGUAUUCCAAACAUUAUCGGUUUGAUGCAAAACACAAAGGAACUUUUAUAUCUGAGAGCAUAAACCAGUACCACAUUGAUAGUUUUAGUUACCAUGUCACAAAAUUGCCUUAUAUUCCGUUUCCAAGCAACUAAAAUAUCCAGGUAUUUCCAGAUGAACUGAAAUUUGGUCACAUAUAUUGAUACUUUAUAUGGGCAAAUAAUUUUUUGAAAAUGAAUCUGAAGCAACUUGCUACGGAAGCAGCAUCCCUGAAUGUGAGGAUUUACAAUGCCUUGGUUUGCAUCUUACCUCGUUUACUUUGUUGGCCAAUCAUUGAUCUCUCUGAGCUUCAAUAUCCUCAUCUGUACCUUGAGAAUAAUGCCUCCCCCAAGGAAUUGUGGAAGUUAAAUGAGAUGAUUUGUGUAGGUUGUUAGCACAUUGGAAGCACUAGAUAAGUACAAGUUCCCUUCUGCCUUCUUUGAUGACACCCACAAUUUGUGAUUUUGCUCAUCUCCAACCACCCUCCAUGGGACAAUGUGACACAGGGAUUGAGAAUGGUUGCUAAGGAGGAGGAACUACUUAUAAGCAUGUGACUUCAGGAAAGUUUCAAUUCCCUGCUUCUCAGAACCUUUCUUUGUAAAAAGGGGGAAACAAUAGCUUUUAAGCAUAAGAUGAGACAUGGCACUUGAAGCAUUUGGGCACAGAGCCUGGCACACAUCAUAUGUUCAGUACUUUUUAAAUUGUCAUUACUCCUCCCCCAGCGACCAUGACUAUAGUGGGGUUUAUUUGCUUUGAUGGCAGGGCCCAAAACUGUCCUUCAGAAAUCUGACUAAAGGGUGUCUUUGAAACACUAUCUUUGUUUUGUUACAACUGAAGAGCCUUUAAAUUAGUUAGUCUGGAAAUCAAUAGCCGAUUUCUAGCAGGGGAGGUAGAAGGAAGGAUGGCCACAGCACUCCAUUUUGAAAGUCUGAUUCAUUUUGACCCACAUCGUCUACAAAGUCUUCUGCCAAUUUCUCUGAGAGACAUCCUCCCCCAAAUUCUAGGUGAUCUGUUCUGUUCCUCAUAAAUAACAAGGUAACUUUGAGUCUGUCACUUUCAUUUCACCUGUCAGCUCUUCCUUUUAUGGAAUUGACCUGAAGAGAAGUGGCUUUCCUCUUCUUUUACCUGAAUUCACUCUCUGGCUGGUUCCUCUACUAACACUACAUUUUUUGCCAUCCUCCCUUGGUCAUCACCUACAAUGUUUCCUGCUAUGUUACUUCCCUGUACCUCUCAGGACUACAGGGGACAACCUGGGUUAUUAGGAGCUAAGCUGCAAAGAGAUGGAGAAAUGAAAAUUUACACUUGUACUGGCCAAAAUUUAAGAUUUGGGAUAUAGUAGUGUUUAACAACCUUUUUAUAACUAAUGGGCCCUUGUAUAAUUUUUUUGAACUACUAUGAAUGUAGUGUUUCGAUAAAGAUUACUUUUAUGCAGGAAAAACAACAAAUAAUGUCUUCCUAUGAGAAAGCCAAAUGUACCACAAUGAGAUGACCCACUAUAAUUAUUAUAAAAAAGAAAAAAGCAAUUUUUAUUUGGCUUGGGCCAUCUUGCCCUAUGUAAUUCUCAUUUCUUUUAGGCUUGUGGAAAUCCUGAGAAUAGGUUGCAAACCCAUAUUAUUACCUUAAUAAACCCUUAGGUGUUGGUCACCCUAGGUUGGGAAUGACUGAGCAUGGCUUUAGCUGGAAUUAUGAAAGCAAAAUCAUUUAGUGAUAAAGGUGCUUUGUCUGAAGAAUAUAAUAAUUUAAAAUUCUAAUUUAUUUUCUUUUUAUUUGUUUUUUAAUGUUAUGAUGUUUGUCUUAAUAUCAUAAAUUCUCACUUAUUUAAUGACAGAUUAGCUGCAUUCUCUUAACAGAGGUAGCAUGGGGAAUAAAGCAAGAGCUUUGAAUCAGAAGGAUCUGAUUCUUCCACCUACAAGCUGAUACCUUCAUCAAUCUGUAAACCUCUCUGAGGCGUAGUUUCAUCAUCUAUAAAAAAGAUCAAGAACACCUACUUUAUAAGAUUGGUGUGAGGAUGAGAGGUGAUGUAUGUACAGGGAAGAUAGUGACUGGCACAGUGUAGGUGUCUAAUAAAGUGUAGUUAUCAUCAUGAAGAUGGAUAAAUUACCAUUUUUGAAUGCUUGCUAUAUACUAGGCCCUCCUCAUUUUCUGAUUAGAAAAUAGAGGCUUUGGGAAACUAGCUUUCUCGAAAUCACAUAGCUAAUUUAUGGCUGUAUUCAUCACCACAGGCCAGCUUUGCUGUGAUAACCAGCAGCCCCCAGAACUGAAUAGUUUUAAUCAGCAAAGAUUCAUUUCUCAUACAUGUCAUGUCCAUCAUGGGUUUGUGUGUGGCUCUGUGCCACAUCAUCCUCAGUGAGGAGGAUAGGCUGAGGAAAGCACCAGCAUCUGGAAUGUUGCUGGUUACUGGGGCCAAUAAAAGAAAGAUGAAGAAUUCUGCGGGAUCUCUUAAAAGAUUCUACCCAGAAGUGACAUGCAUCACUUUUCAUAUUUCAUUGGCCAGAACAAGUCACAUAGCCAUCCAUGCCUAACAUCAAAGAGGUGGAAACAUACAAGCCUUCCCUAUAACCCAAAGUGAUAACAUCUUUAAAGUGAUUGAAUUCUAAUUCAAACCUAGAUCGCUGGUUUGCAUAUGGACAAAAUAGGGGAACUGGAACCUCUUACUUCUUCUUAAAUCCAUUUUUCAUAACAUGGCCUUUUUGGUACAUCCGAAAAAAAUUCUCAGAAUUUACAAUAUCACAAGCAUAACUACUCAACUCUUAAGUGCGAAGGUAUAAUGCCAAGAAAACUAGAUGAGAUUUGUGGGUUUUCUACUUCUUGUGAUUAUGCAUAAUGAAACUAUGCACCUUCCUUGUCGACUUUGCCUCUUUCUUUUUCAUUUAUUUGCCUUUUAAGUGAGUAAAGUUGUAUAUUCCCCUCUCGACUUCCUUUCCCUACUUACAAAAUAUUUCUCCACAUCAUAGCACACUCCAGUGUUAACCACUUUGCUUUUUCCCCUUUGGCUUACAGCUUAAGAAAUAGCCUUGUUUGCUUUGUAUGAAUAUGGAACACAUUGGAACAAUGAGCACCAUAACAUUUUGUGCUUCUGAUUCCAAUGUUGCAGAACCUUGGCUCAUCAGAGCAUUUUUCUCACGUCCUGUCUGACUGACCGUUUAGCUCAGGGAUAAAAGCUCCCUAGGGUGACAGACUUGCACAGGUGCAGAGAAUAAACCCUGUUGUCAUGAUUCUUCCUCCUCAACCAAAAGGUGGAUUUUGAUGUGGCCUUUAACUGAGAGAAAAACUUAUUGAAAAAGUAGCCCAGAGGAACGAAGAAACCCCACAAUUCUGAUCUUGGGUCAGCUAUGGGGAUCAUAUUACAAACUGUCAAUUUAUCAAGGAAUCCCCAGAUUUUUCUUUUCAAGUGAAUCUGCGGAGACUUAGGAGCAUGGUUGUGCUAUUUUAAUAUGCCUAUUUAUUAAUUUAUUUUUACUGCUUUGGGUUUUCCUGCAAUUCACCAAUGAAUAAUCCCUCUCUCCAAACUCCCACUCCAGAAAUGUGUUUUUCUCUUUGUAUUUUCUUUGAUGUUUAUUCCACAACUUCCAUUGAGUUAUUGUCUUUUAUCAUAACAAGAAAUUCUCAUUAGUUCUGAAUUUGUUAUCACUCCAACAGCAACAAAACUUUUUUUAA